This 300-nucleotide ribosomal RNA is filed under the name Babesia venatorum (nom. ined.). RNAcentral describes it as "SSU rRNA". It matches the Rfam family "Eukaryotic small subunit ribosomal RNA", at positions 622 to 972 of the family's 1831-position model. The record is from RNAcentral. Lineage: Eukaryota; Apicomplexa; Aconoidasida; Piroplasmida; Babesiidae.
AAAAGCUCGUAGUUGAAUUUCUGCGUUAUCGAGUUAUUGACUCUUGUCUUUAAUCGAUUUCGCUUUUGGGAUUUAUCCCUUUUUACUUUGAGAAAAUUAGAGUGUUUCAAGCAGACUUUUGUCUUGAAUACUUCAGCAUGGAAUAAUAGAGUAGGACUUUGGUUCUAUUUUGUUGGUUUUUGAACCUUAGUAAUGGUUAAUAGGAACGGUUGGGGGCAUUCGUAUUUAACUGUCAGAGGUGAAAUUCUUAGAUUUGUUAAAGACGAACUACUGCGAAAGCAUUUGCCAAGGACGUUUCCU